Long non-coding RNA from Astyanax mexicanus (Mexican tetra), 760 nucleotides. RefSeq lists it as uncharacterized. The transcript is spliced from 3 exons. The record is from RefSeq and is a predicted model, not a curated record. NCBI's taxonomy places the organism in Eukaryota, Metazoa, Chordata, Actinopteri, Characiformes, Acestrorhamphidae.
AUGAAACACCUGGGUGUGCUUCUGCUUCUGAUAAAGAAAGUGCAGUGUCUGACGCUGCGUGUGAAGCUAAACGUUUCUGUUGACCCUGUAUGAACUGGCCUCUGUGUCAGUUCCAUUUCAUCUCCUCCGUGUGCUGUGGGAACUUUUCUGUUCACAGUGGCUCCUUUUGUUCACACACUUCAUGAGAACUGCUUUUGAGAUAGUGUACCUUCCACCUUCCACUCCUGCAGCAAAGUGCCAGUAUGAGUUAGUGUCUAGCUAUGGAUACAUGGCAGCUACAUUAGCUCUGCAGGGUACACAUCAGAGACUGUCGAAAAGGAAGCCACACUCAGAAAAGCCACUGACACAAAACUAACAGCACACUGUGAUUCUGAAGGCACACCCAGUCCAGUCUCUGGAAUCUUCUUCAAAAGUGAGAUUACAUAAAGGUGUAUAAAGGGUAAACACAUGGAUUUGCAGUGCAGACACAGGAGAAUGUGAGCUGUUUGUGCGUGUCUUUAAGGGUGAGUGGGGCUGAAAUGAUAAACCGCUUGUGGGCCGGUCUACAGCAGCCUUUUAUUAAAGGUCUCUUUGUUUACUGUUUGUUCCAGGUCAUUUUGUCUGACUAUACUUGAAAGGCUGGGGAGAAAAACAAGCUGCCAAAAGCUCCUGAAUAAAACUAGCUAAACUGAGGCUGAAUAUUCAGUUUAAGGGUCAAAGCAAACCGCUGAAAAAAAAAAGGCAAAAACAAAACACUGUUUAUCUGCACUCUUUAAUACAA